Molecule: ribosomal RNA, 510 nt
Filed under: uncultured bacterium
Lineage: Bacteria
Description: partial 16S ribosomal RNA
Rfam family: Bacterial small subunit ribosomal RNA
Source: RNAcentral
GACGAACGCUGGCGGCGUGCUUAACACAUGCAAGUCGAACGAAGAGCGAUGGAAGCUUGCUUCUAUCAAUCUUAGUGGCGAACGGGUGAGUAACGCGUAAUCAACCUGCCCUUCAGAGGGGGACAACAGUUGGAAACGACUGCUAAUACCGCAUACGAUCUAAUCUCGGCAUCGAGGAUAGAUGAAAGGUGGCCUCUACAUGUAAGCUAUCACUGAAGGAGGGGAUUGCGCCUGAUUAGCUAGUUGGAGGGGUAACGGCCCACCAAGGCGAUGAUCAGUAGCCGGUCUGAGAGGAUGAACGGCCACAUUGGGACUGAGACACGGCCCAGACUCCUACGGGAGGCAGCAGUGGGGAAUCUUCCGCAAUGGACGAAAGUCUGACGGAGCAACGCCGCGUGAGUGAUGACGGUCUUCGGGUUGUAAAGCUCUGUUAAUCGGGACGAAAGGCCUUCUUGCGAAUAGUGAGAAGGAUUGACGGUACCGGAAUAGAAAGCCACGGCUAACUACGUG